GACGAACCGAGCAAACGUUAUUCGGAAUCACUGGGCUUAAAGGGCGCGUAGGCGGGGCGGUAAGUCAGGGGUGAAAGCCCGCAGCUCAACUGAGGAAGUGCCUUUGAUACUGUUGAUCUCGAGGGAGAUAGGGGCGUGCGGAACUUCCGGUGGAGCGGUGAAAUGCGUAGAUAUGGGAAGGAACACCGGUGGCGAAAGCGGCGCGCUGGGCCUCUUCUGACGCUGAGGCACGAAAGCCAGGGUAGCAAACGGG
This 253-nucleotide ribosomal RNA is filed under the name uncultured bacterium. RNAcentral's name for it is "partial 16S ribosomal RNA". It matches the Rfam family "Bacterial small subunit ribosomal RNA", at positions 524 to 776 of the family's 1533-position model. The record is from RNAcentral.